CCAGGGAGAGCAUAGAGACGCUGAGUUCCUGGCCCACCUUCAGCCAUGAAGAUCAUUUACCUGCUCUUUGCUUUUGUCUUUCUGGUGCUCCAGGGUGUGCCAGAAUUCUCGCAGGCUUGGAGCUCCAGGAAGCGAUGUAGAUAUCUUGGUGGUAUCUGUUUCAGUGGACCAUGUCCCAAAAGUUAUAGAUUCAUUGGAAUAUGUUCUCGAAAGUACAGCU
Long non-coding RNA from Dermochelys coriacea (leatherback sea turtle), 220 nucleotides. RefSeq lists it as uncharacterized. The record is from RefSeq and is a predicted model, not a curated record. NCBI's taxonomy places the organism in Eukaryota, Metazoa, Chordata, Testudines, Dermochelyidae. The transcript has 3 exons.